UAUUACCGCGGCUGCUGGCACGGAGUUAGCCGGUGCUUCUUCUGCGGGUAACGUCAAUGAGUAAAGGUAUUAACUUUACUCCCUUCCUCCCCGCUGAAAGUACUUUACAACCCGAAGGCCUUCUUCAUACACGCGGCAUGGCUGCAUCAGGCUUGCGCCCAUUGUGCAAUAUUCCCCACUGCUGCCUCCCGUAGGA
Molecule: ribosomal RNA, 196 nt
Filed under: uncultured bacterium
Lineage: Bacteria
Description: partial 16S ribosomal RNA
Source: RNAcentral